UGGGCUAGAAUGCCUCUGACAACCCUAUCUCUAGGGUUGUCAGAGGCAUUCUAGCCCAGGUAAGGUUCUUCGCGUUGCGUCGAAUUAAACCACAUGCUCCACCGCUUGUGCGGGUCCCCGUCAAUUCCUUUGAGUUUCAGUCUUGCGACCGUACUCCCCAGGCGGAAUGCUUAAAGCGUUAGCGACGGCACCCGGGGACUUUAUAACCCCAGACACCAAGCAUUCAUCGUUUAAGGCUAGGACUAC
Molecule: unclassified non-coding RNA, 246 nt
Filed under: uncultured Acidobacteriota bacterium
Lineage: Bacteria; Pseudomonadati; Acidobacteriota
Description: uncultured Acidobacteria bacterium contains 16S-23S intergenic spacer region
Source: RNAcentral